GACGAACGCUGGCGGCGUGCUUAACACAUGCAAGUCGAGCGGAAAGGCCCUUCGGGGUACUCGAGCGGCGAACGGGUGAGUAACACGUGAGUAACCUGCCCUUCACUCUGGGAUAAGCCCGGGAAACUGGGUCUAAUACCGGAUAUGACUCCUCGUCUCAUGGCGGGGGGUGGAAAGUUUUUCGGUGGGGGAUGGACUCGCGGCCUAUCAGCUUGUUGGUGAGGUAAUGGCUUACCAAGGCGACGACGGGUAGCCGGCCUGAGAGGGCGACCGGCCACACUGGGACUGAGACACGGCCCAGACUCCUACGGGAGGCAGCAGUGGGGAAUAUUGCACAAUGGGGGAAACCCUGAUGCAGCGACGCCGCGUACGGGAUGAAGGCCUUCGGGUUGUAAACCGCUUUCAGCAGGGACGAAAUUGACGGUACCUGCAGAAGAAGCACCGGCUAACUACGUGC
Molecule: ribosomal RNA, 457 nt
Filed under: uncultured bacterium
Lineage: Bacteria
Description: bacterial SSU rRNA
Rfam family: Bacterial small subunit ribosomal RNA
Source: RNAcentral